Molecule: ribosomal RNA, 545 nt
Filed under: uncultured bacterium
Lineage: Bacteria
Description: bacterial SSU rRNA
Rfam family: Bacterial small subunit ribosomal RNA
Source: RNAcentral
UUAAGAAUAUUCCGCAAUGGACGAAAGUCUGACGGAGCGACGCCGCGUGGAUGAAGAAUGCCGAAAGGUUGUAAAAUCCUUUUAAGCCUGAGGAAUAAGCAGAGGAGGGAAUGCCUUUGCGGUGACUGUAGGGCUUGAAUAAGCAACGGCUAAUUACGUGCCAGCAGCCGCGGUAACACGUAAGUUGCGAGCGUUGUUCGGAAUUAUUGGGCGUAAAGGGCAUGUAGGCGGAAAUGCAAGCUUGAUGUGAAAUACUGCAGCUUAACUGCGGAACUGCAUUGAGAACUGCGUAUCUUGAAUUACUGAAGGGUAACCGGAAUUCCACGUGUAGGGGUGAAAUCUGUAGAUAUGUGGAAGAACACCAAUGGCGAAGGCAGGUUACCGGCAGAUAAUUGACGCUGAGGUGCGAAAGUGCGGGGAGCGAACAGGAUUAGAUACCCUGGUAGUCCGCACCGUAAACGAUGUACACUAGGUGUCCGGCGUUGAAGCCGGGUGCCAAAGCAAACGUGAUAAGUGUACCGCCUGGGGAGUAUGCCCGCAAGGGU